RNAcentral lists this ribosomal RNA (935 nucleotides) under Escherichia coli. RNAcentral describes it as "partial 23S ribosomal RNA". It matches the Rfam family "Bacterial large subunit ribosomal RNA", at positions 1987 to 2916 of the family's 2925-position model. Lineage: Bacteria; Pseudomonadati; Pseudomonadota; Gammaproteobacteria; Enterobacterales; Enterobacteriaceae. The record is from RNAcentral.
CCUGCACGAAUGGCGUAAUGAUGGCCAGGCUGUCUCCACCCGAGACUCAGUGAAAUUGAACUCGCUGUGAAGAUGCAGUGUACCCGCGGCAAGACGGAAAGACCCCGUGAACCUUUACUAUAGCUUGACACUGAACAUUGAGCCUUGAUGUGUAGGAUAGGUGGGAGGCUUUGAAGUGUGGACGCCAGUCUGCAUGGAGCCGACCUUGAAAUACCACCCUUUAAUGUUUGAUGUUCUAACGUGGACCCGUAAUCCGGGUUGCGGACAGUGUCUGGUGGGUAGUUUGACUGGGGCGGUCUCCUCCUAAAGAGUAACGGAGGAGCACGAAGGUUGGCUAAUCCUGGUCGGACAUCAGGAGGUUAGUGCAAUGGCAUAAGCCAGCUUGACUGCGAGCGUGACGGCGCGAGCAGGUGCGAAAGCAGGUCAUAGUGAUCCGGUGGUUCUGAAUGGAAGGGCCAUCGCUCAACGGAUAAAAGGUACUCCGGGGAUAACAGGCUGAUACCGCCCAAGAGUUCAUAUCGACGGCGGUGUUUGGCACCUCGAUGUCGGCUCAUCACAUCCUGGGGCUGAAGUAGGUCCCAAGGGUAUGGCUGUUCGCCAUUUAAAGUGGUACGCGAGCUGGGUUUAGAACGUCGUGAGACAGUUCGGUCCCUAUCUGCCGUGGGCGCUGGAGAACUGAGGGGGGCUGCUCCUAGUACGAGAGGACCGGAGUGGACGCAUCACUGGUGUUCGGGUUGUCAUGCCAAUGGCACUGCCCGGUAGCUAAAUGCGGAAGAGAUAAGUGCUGAAAGCAUCUAAGCACGAAACUUGCCCCGAGAUGAGUUCUCCCUGACUCCUUGAGAGUCCUGAAGGAACGUUGAAGACGACGACGUUGAUAGGCCGGGUGUGUAAGCGCAGCGAUGCGUUGAGCUAACCGGUACUAAUGAACCGUGAGG